This 549-nucleotide ribosomal RNA is filed under the name Triticum aestivum (bread wheat). RNAcentral's name for it is "partial small subunit ribosomal RNA". Lineage: Eukaryota; Viridiplantae; Streptophyta; Magnoliopsida; Poales; Poaceae. The record is from RNAcentral.
AUGAAUGUCACACUCAUGCUGCGUUGGGUUUGGCGGAUCCUAUGAGGCGAUGGCGGUCUGUGGCUACAACCGAUUCAGGGAAAAUACCUUCGGGGUGAUGCCCUCCUGGCUUGCUCUCGGCUCGCCGGGUCCCAAUUCUGGAAGUCUAUCCAGAAGAUUAAGGAAGAAAUUCGUCUCGGCGCCACCUUUUUAGUUGGCAAUGGGAAGGCCACCCAGUUUUGGCUCGACCCAUGGCUGGAUGGGGAGCCUCUGCGCUUGAGUUUCCCUAGGCUAUUUGCUAUCUGCGCUGACCCGACUAUUCUGGUCUCCGGGGCAUGUCUGGAUGGACAAUGGAACAUCGGGUUCCGACGGUCAUUUGGGCAGGACGAGAUUCUAGAAUGGGACAGGUUGAGGGCAGAAGUCUCGCUGGUGUUGUCACAGUUGCCUGGCACCAUAUCUUGGAGCCUUUCCCCCCUGGAGAGUUCUCCAAUAGUUCAGCCUACCAGGCAUUAUGCCGUGCACCGAUCAUACAGUGAUUAUCCCCAUUGUGGAAGGCGCAUGUGCCCUUAA